GACGAACGCUGGCGGCGUGCCUAAUACAUGCAAGUCGAGCGGACAGAAGGGAGCUUGCUCCCGGACGUUAGCGGCGGACGGGUGAGUAACACGUGGGCAACCUGCCCCUUAGACUGGGAUAACUCCGGGAAACCGGAGCUAAUACCGGAUAAUCCCUUUCUCCACCUGGAGAGAGGGUGAAAGAUGGCUUCGGCUAUCACUAGGGGAUGGGCCCGCGGCGCAUUAGCUAGUUGGUAAGGUAACGGCUUACCAAGGCGACGAUGCGUAGCCGACCUGAGAGGGUGAUCGGCCACACUGGGACUGAGACACGGCCCAGACUCCUACGGGAGGCAGCAGUAGGGAAUCUUCCGCAAUGGACGAAAGUCUGACGGAGCAACGCCGCGUGAGUGAGGAAGGCCUUCGGGUCGUAAAGCUCUGUUGUGAGGGAAGAAGCGGUACCGUUCGAAUAGGGCGGUACCUUGACGG
This 465-nucleotide ribosomal RNA is filed under the name Shouchella clausii. RNAcentral describes it as "bacterial SSU rRNA". It matches the Rfam family "Bacterial small subunit ribosomal RNA", at positions 28 to 475 of the family's 1533-position model. Lineage: Bacteria; Bacillati; Bacillota; Bacilli; Caryophanales; Bacillaceae. The record is from RNAcentral.